RNAcentral lists this ribosomal RNA (483 nucleotides) under uncultured bacterium. RNAcentral's name for it is "partial 16S ribosomal RNA". It matches the Rfam family "Bacterial small subunit ribosomal RNA", at positions 28 to 507 of the family's 1533-position model. The record is from RNAcentral.
GACGAACGCUGGCGGCGUGCUUAACACAUGCAAGUCGAACGCUGAAGCUCAGCUUUUGUUGGGUGGAUGAGUGGCGAACGGGUGAGUAACACGUGAGUAACCUGCCCCCUUCUUUGGGAUAACGCCCGGAAACGGGUGCUAAUACUGGAUAUUCACUGGUCUUCGCAUGGGGGUUGGUGGAAAGGGUUUUUCUGGUGGGGGAUGGGCUCGCGUCCUAUCAGCUUGUUGGUGGGGUGAUGGCCUACCAAGUCUUUGACGGGUAGCCGGCCUGAGAGGGUGACCGGUAACAUUGGGACUGAGAUAAGGCCCAGACUCCGACGGGGGGCAGCAGUGGGGAAUAUUGGACAAUGGGUGAAAGACUGAUGCAGCGACGCCGCGUGAGGGAUGGAGGCCUUCGGGUUGUGAACCUCUUUCGAUAAUGGUCAAGCCGCAACAAUGGUUGUGGUGAGGGUAGUGGGUAAAGAAGCGCCGGCUAACUACGUG